Non-coding RNA from Nothobranchius furzeri (turquoise killifish), 3703 nucleotides. Lineage: Eukaryota; Metazoa; Chordata; Actinopteri; Cyprinodontiformes; Nothobranchiidae. The record is from RefSeq and is a predicted model, not a curated record.
CACCUGAAGGAAUGAUGGAAAAAAGGGUUUAAGAUGACAAAUAAUAUUGUGCAGUACUAUCUAAAAGUCUUAGAAGAGUAAAAUUAAUGGCAUCCCAUCACUCUUGUUUGACUUUGAUGUAUAGUUUCUAGGGAUGAUGAACUCAACCACUGCACACUUUUAAAAUUACCUCCAUAUCUCCUGGUUUUCCCUGUUGCCAGGGAGGAUGUGUGCAUUAAAUCCAAGGUCACACUCUCCUAUUUUCUCUUAUGGUCCAACCCUUUUUUAAAAAAAUGAUUGUAAUCACUUACAUUUGCUUUAAAGAGAGAUCUACCAUGAUGGCACGGACACAAAUGUGUGUGUCGUGUGAAGAGAGAGGAGAAAUACGUCGGGGUGGUGGCUUUAGUGGUGGACGGUCAUGAUGCACCAACAGAGUCCAGUCACAAAAAGUUCUGUUCUGGCAUCUUAAGCAUCAUUCUUUAGAAGUUUGGGUUCAGCUUCCCUGGAGAUGGAGGUGUCGGUACAAAACCCCAUGGUUCCAGGGUUAUCCCCGUGUCAGAGUGACUGGUACCAGUCCUGGAGACUGGGUCAAGUGCAAACACACUUUUAGAGUAUUUAAUUCAGUUAUCAUCUUAACUUCUCCUUCCUCACUAGGGUCAUGGGGAGCUGCUGUCCAACUCCAGCAGACACCAGGCGAGAGGGCGGUGGACAACCUGGACAUGUCUCUAGUCCUUCACAUGGACAGUCAUCCACUUACUCACUCACACUGAGGUCUCCAGUUAACUUAACAUGCGGGGGGAGGGGGGGUAAACUUUAAAGAAUGCUAAUGUCCCAUUUAUUAUCAAUCUAGCUACUAAAAAGCAAUAAAAAUACAUUUAAACAUAUAUUUCUAAUUAUCUUCAUGCCUCAUUUAUGCAGCGAUACAAAACCAGCCCUGUAAUAAAAAAAUGAGAGGCUAGCCAUGAAAACAGGUGAAAGAACCACGCAUGCAUGAGGGGGAACGUGCUAACUCCAGCCAGAACCUGUGAGGGUACUGUGGACCUCGGCCCGUUUGACGUGUUUUUAUGUUUCAUCUUUCUUUUCAUGUUCCACACCAUAUUUGUUCUCAUCGUGUGUUUAGUGGUUGUGUUCAGUCUGCUGAUAAGGUCGUGGAAGGUACUUUAUAAAUAAAGUAGGGCUGCACAAUGUAUCUCAAAUAUAUCGUUAUCGCGAUAUCAGCAUGCGCAAUAUGCAUAUCGCAAAGAACAGAUAAAUAUCGUAAUGAAUGGUCAGCUCAACUGUUUGCUACACAUAAUGCAUUCUGUCAAUCAAACGGAAGCAUGAUGUUUUUUUUUAACAAAUCAAAUACAGCUCUUCACCCAUUUGGCCAAUUGGGUGGGUUCUCAUAGGUUAGAUGCCCGCCCCCGACACUUAAUUUUGAUGGUUAGCAAACACCAGAGUUAGCUUUGUUCUGCUUUUUCUGCUGAUCCUGCUUCUUGUUCAUUUUCUUUUUCCCUUUCCUCACAUCUUUAGCUUUUCUCAUUUUUAUGAUUUUUGUCACUUUUUUGUUUUUUUGCUUUUGAUUAUUUUUGUUCCUGAAUGAAGUUUAUAUUUAUCGCAAGUAAUAUCGUCAUCGCGAUAUUAUCGUAAUCAUUGUUAUCACACAUCGCAGGUUUUCCUAAUAUCGUGCAGCCCUAAAAUAAAUGAACUCAACUGACCUUUUUGGAGUAUUUAAUAUGCAAAAAGUCAGUCCCAGUGGCAACCUCAAAGGGACUAGAGGACCAGAAACAGCCUCUGACCUGCUUGCCUCCCCUCACUGGGGCCUGCAGGUGCAGUUCUUAAAGAGCAGGAGCUCAGAUUAAGGUAAAAAAUGAGAUUCUGAAUCUCUUCUGCAGCUUUGAUGUGUUUUAUUAGCUGUUAAACAGAUGAAUGAGAUUUUUUUUGUUCUAACCAUUUUUUAGGUAUUUGUUCUUUUAAUAAAUUAUGUUUUUGUUUGUUUAUAGAAGUUUAUUAAAUAAAGUUUGCCAAUUUCCUGAAUCCAUCUGGUGAAUGACAAGGAAGAGGCUGAACCUUGUCAGAAUGGGUGACUUUCUACACGGCAAACAGAUCUGCGACACCUUCCUCCCGUAUGAAAUCACUGAGGUGGAAAAAGAGGGUAGAAUCUGAGUCAUCACCGUCGCGCCUCAUCCUAGCAGCAGAGGUGAAGCUGGCGAGCAGGUAUGUGCACCGCCAUCAUCUGCAGAGGCUCCAGACACUGGACCACCCAGCCGUGCCUCUCACUGACCCGAGCCGUCUCCACAUUCAGGAAGGUAUUCGGCAUCCGGCUCCAGAGCACAGCCACGAUGGUCUGCACAUCCAGUCGAGGCGGACACUGAGGAACCGGGUUCCUCGACUCACUCCUGAAUAUGGCCGACGACAGCGGCAUUGCAUCCUGGGGAGUCAGAAUAAACUCAAACAAAUGCUAAUGUUCCAUUCAUCAUCAAUCCAGCUUCUACGAAGCAACAACACACUUGCAAUGCUUUUUUCUUAUUUUAAUUCAUGCACUGAUGUACAGCCUGUAAUAAAAAGGGCUGUCGUUUAAAGUUGUGGAGGGAAACAAACCUUUAUCUUAACAAAUUCAAACUGGAAGAGGUUUGAACUGGUGGGGGACGCAAACACGGCAGGGAAGAGUUUGGUGUUCGGCUCCACCUGGAAACCAAAUCCAACAGUUCACAUAAAUCAGUUCUCAAAGGUCAAUGCAUCACACAUAUCUGUAAAAAUGUUACCUAGUUUGUCGAUGAUGCAGAUCACAGGGAAAAGAGAAGAGAAGAAAGUGAGCUUUAUUAUAGUAAUAAGGUUAAAAGCUGCUGUGUUUGACAAAAGCUGAAUAAAUAAAAGAGUAUUACAAAAACAAGACUAAAGGAGAGAUGAAAGAAGCAGACACGGGGGUAAAAGUGAUGCAAUGCCUUAAAAAUGAAAGAGUAAUCGUCUUCUGUUUGAAUUCUGCUGCCAAAAUGAGAACAUUUCCCUCAUUUUAAAGACCAAAAGAGAACAAGUAAAAUGUGCUGCUAUGUUUUUCUGCUGCAUCAUUUGUUAAGCGAGUCUGUUUUGUGCUCUUAAAGCGUUGUUCAUCCAAGAAGUUAAAGUUACAGCUCAGCUAUAAACAAGGUAACUAGAGGUUUUGAUAAAUUACUAAGAAAAAUGUGUUUAUUGGAUGCCAGUUUGUUUGUGUAGAAGACUUACCUGAUAAGAGAUGGGCAGCUCCUUGCCGUUGGCAGUAAAGGAGACGAGGCCGGUGGCCAGGUCGACCAGACAGCCGAUCUCCAGGUCCGAGUUGGAGUGGCUGGAGGAAGACAAACUGACGGCGUCUGCUGCACACACCAUGUAGCAGUUGCUCCUCUGAACGCUGCAGCGAAGCAACCAGAAUGAGUCAGAAGUUUUAAACAUCCACAGGAAAAUGAUUUUAAUGUAUUCAAUAAAUAUGUCCAGAUUUAUCCAGAUUUGCAUCCCAAAUAAACAGGAAAGUGACAAUCUAACGUCAUUUUUGCAUCUAAACUAAUUAAAAAAGGUUCGCUACUUGAAAGAACAACAAUGAAUAGAAACCAGUUGAGUUGAUUUAUUGGUAAAAUGUCACUGCUGUGAUUUUCUUGUGUUUUAUUGAACAAACGUAUCAUUUUGUAUAAAAAUGGUGGCUUUUAAUGCAUGAAUGACUUUUUCUCCUGGUAAUAAAAAAGACAAAAAAAAAAACUUGCCCCACAAAGUUAAA